Molecule: non-coding RNA, 639 nt
Organism: Malus domestica (apple)
Lineage: Eukaryota; Viridiplantae; Streptophyta; Magnoliopsida; Rosales; Rosaceae
Source: RefSeq, a predicted model, not a curated record
ACCUUUUGCUCUUAUUCCACUCGGUCUCUCUCUUCCCUCUCGCCCAUCUGCAAACAAAUUUCCCUUUCCCUCUUUUUUCCUACUAACAAAUUUCUCACAAAUGUGGGCAGUUUUCUCCACAUAUUUUCACUAACUUUCUCAAUUAGGUAAAUCUGGUUUCUGGGAAGAAUUGCUGGCAUUUUUAGGCAGUUUUCGUCUCAGGAAACGAACCCUUUCGCUCAUCUCGGUCUCUCUCUUCCCUCUCGCUCAUCUCGCUCCUCUCACUCCGUCUCAAUUCCAAAGUUCUUGAUAUUUGCUUACAUUGCUUCACAUGUGUCCAUGUCAAUCUGCUGUGGGAUUCCUAUCUAUGUUUCGGAGUUGCAACAUGGUUGAACAAUGGACCGGAUUUGAACUUCUGCAGAAAGCGCUUUCUGUAUUUAACUUUUCCGAAGCUGGCAACAAUUGAACUAAACUUCUGCUGCCUUUCAAAUUUCUUUAAUUCUAAAGGAGUGUAUAGAUGUCGCAUUCGAUCACUCGUCGCCGGAGUUUGUCCAAUGCGGCCCCUGCAUUAUCAGCAUCUACUGCUCCAGGAGUGAGUGCUCCAUUGAUUGGGGAGCCUACACCCCUUACUGAGGCUACUCCUACGGCAUCCCAGGUGCC